This is a non-coding RNA of Emys orbicularis (European pond turtle), 73 nucleotides long. The record is from the annotation of a RefSeq genome assembly. NCBI's taxonomy places the organism in Eukaryota, Metazoa, Chordata, Testudines, Emydidae.
UCCCACGUGGUCUAGCGGUCAGGAUUCCUGGUUUUCACCCAGGCGGCCUGGGGUUUGAGUCCCCGUGUGGGAA